RNAcentral lists this ribosomal RNA (433 nucleotides) under uncultured bacterium. RNAcentral's name for it is "partial 16S ribosomal RNA". It matches the Rfam family "Bacterial small subunit ribosomal RNA", at positions 29 to 507 of the family's 1533-position model. The record is from RNAcentral.
AACGAACGCUGGCGGCAUGCCUAACACAUGCAAGUCGAACGAGACCUUCGGGUCUAGUGGCGCACGGGUGCGCAACGCGUGGGAACCUGCCCUUAGGUUCGGAAUAACUCCCCGAAAGGGGUGCUAAUACCGGAUAAUGUCUUCGGACCAAAGAUUUAUCGCCUUUGGAUGGGCCCGCGUUGGAUUAGCUAGUUGGUAGGGUAAAAGCCUACCAAGGCGACGAUCCAUAGCUGGUCUGAGAGGAUGAUCAGCCACGCUGGGACUGAGACACGGCCCAGACUCCUACGGGAGGCAGCAGUGGGGAAUAUUGGACAAUGGGCGAAAGCCUGAUCCAGCAAUGCCGCGUGAGUGAUGAAGGCCUUAGGGUUGUAAAGCUCUUUUACCCGGGAUGAUAAUGACAGUACCGGGAGAAUAAGCGCCGGCUAACUCCGUG